AAGAGUUUAGAGACUUCGGUCUACUACUCCACCCUUUGUUUACAAUACCAUUGUUGCUUUGGCAGGCCCGUCGCAAGACAACCGGCUUUGGCUGGUCAGCGCCUGCCAGAGAACCUAAAACUCAUGUUUAUAUUAUUGUCUGAGUACUAUGUAAUAGUUAAAACUUUCAACAACGGAUCUCUUGGUUCUGGCAUCGAUGAAGAACGCAGCGAAAUGCGAUAAGUAAUGUGAAUUGCAGAAUUCAGUGAAUCAUCGAAUCUUUGAACGCACAUUGCGCCCUCUGGUAUUCCGGGGGGCAUGCCUGUUCGAGCGUCAUUACAACCCUCAAGCUCUGCUUGGUAUUAGGCUUCACCCUUAGGGGCGGGCUUUAAAAUCAGUGGCGGUGCUAUUCGGCUUCAAGCGUAGUAAUUUUUCUCGCUUUGGAGGACCGGGUGUGUGUUUGCCAACAACCCCAAUUUUUAAAG
This 464-nucleotide unclassified non-coding RNA is filed under the name uncultured Alatospora. Its description in RNAcentral is "sequence contains ITS1, 5.8S rRNA gene, ITS2". The stretch from base 162 to 315 matches the Rfam family "5.8S ribosomal RNA". The record is from RNAcentral. Lineage: Eukaryota; Fungi; Ascomycota.